RNAcentral lists this ribosomal RNA (373 nucleotides) under uncultured organism. RNAcentral describes it as "partial 16S ribosomal RNA". It matches the Rfam family "Bacterial small subunit ribosomal RNA", at positions 527 to 896 of the family's 1533-position model. The record is from RNAcentral.
GUAGGUGGCAAGCGUUGUCCGGAAUUAUUGGGCGUAAAGCGCGCGCAGGCGGUUCUUUAAGUCUGAUGUGAAAGCCCACGGGCUCAACCGUGGAGGGUCAUUGGAAACUGGAGAACUUGAGUACAGAAGAGGAAAGCGGAAUUCCACGUGUAGCGGUGUAAUGCGUAGAGAUGUGGAGGAACACCAGUGGCGAAGGCGGCUUUCUGGUCUGUAACUGACGCUGAGGCGCGAAAGCGUGGGGAGCAAACAGGAUUAGAUACCCUGGUAGUCCACGCCGUAAACGAUGAGUGCUAAGUGUUAGGGGGUUUCCGCCCCUUAGUGCUGCAGCUAACGCAUUAAGCACUCCGCCUGGGGAGUACGGCCGCAAAGGCUG